This 830-nucleotide ribosomal RNA is filed under the name uncultured Glomeraceae. RNAcentral describes it as "eukaryotic LSU rRNA". It matches the Rfam family "Eukaryotic large subunit ribosomal RNA", at positions 10 to 694 of the family's 3401-position model. Lineage: Eukaryota; Fungi; Glomeromycota; Glomeromycetes; Glomerales; Glomeraceae. The record is from RNAcentral.
AUCAGGUAAGAACACCCGCUGAACUUAAACAUAUCAAUAAGCGGAGGAAAAGAAAAUAACCAUGAUUCCCCUAGUAACUGCGAGUGAAGAGGGAUUAGCUCAAAUUUUAAAUCCGUUAGGUUUAUCUUGACGGAGUUGUAAUUUGAAGAAGCGUUUUUCGCGUUUCUGGUCGGUCCAAAUCUUUUGGGAUAAAGUAUCAUGGAGGGUGAGAAUCCCGUUCGACCGAACCAGGCGUUUUACGAUACGCUUUCAAAGAGUCAAGUUGUUUGGGAAUGCAGCUUAAAAUGGGAGGUAAAUUUCUCCUAAGGCUAAAUAUUGGCGUGAGACCGAUAGCGAACAAGUACCGUGAGGGAAAGAUGAAAAGCACUUUGAAAAGAGAGUUAAAUAGCACGUGAAAUUGUUGAAAGGGAAACGAUUGAAGCCAGUCGUACCGUCGGGAAAUCAACCUUUCGACGCGAUCCUGUGGGCGCGUGGGAGUUUAAACCCCUGCGUUUUCAAGUUCUGCGUUCUUUUGGCGUACUUUCUCGUGUGGUAGGUUAACAUCAAUUUUGGCCGUCGUAAAAUGAUCGGAGGAAUGUGGCUUCAAUUUGUCGAAGUGUUAUAGACUCCGGUAGAUGCGAUUGCCGGGAUUGAGGAUUGCAACGAAUGCCUCUCGGGGCUAACCGCCUGAUCUCUAAUCGUCGCCUUGGUACCGGAAGCAUGCUUACGGUCUUCGAGGUUGAUGGUUACAAGGUUAGAACGGGAUAAAUUCGUUAAGGAUGUUGACGUAAUGGCUUUAAACGACCCGUCCUGAAACACGGACCAAGGAGUCUAACAUAUAUGCGAGUGUU